This 347-nucleotide ribosomal RNA is filed under the name Galeommatoidea sp. MN6726. RNAcentral's name for it is "partial 16S ribosomal RNA". It matches the Rfam family "Archaeal large subunit ribosomal RNA", at positions 1985 to 2584 of the family's 2987-position model. Lineage: Eukaryota; Metazoa; Mollusca; Bivalvia; Galeommatida. RNAcentral also lists the same sequence under 1 other name. The record is from RNAcentral.
CCCGGUGAAGUUUAAACGGCCGCAGUUGGAAGCUGUGCUAAGGUAGCGUAGUAAGUUGUCCUUUAAAUGGGGAAAGGAAUGAAUGGUUUGACGUGAGAGUUUCUGUCUCUGGUGAAGGAAAAGAAAUUUUCUUCUUGGUGAAAAGCCCAGGAUUAAAUUAAAAGACGAGAAGACCCUUUCGAGCUUGAUCAAGCUAUGAAGAAAUUUGUAGUGGAAGUUUAGUUGGGGCAACUUAGGAGCAAGAAAAGACUCCUUUAAGAUUUUUAGAUCCAAAAGUUUUGAAUAGAGAAAAAGCUACCGUAGGGAUAACAGCGUUAUCUUCUCUGAGAGAACAAAUUGAAGAGAGG